CUUACUAUGCGACUAGGAUCGAGUGGCUCAACACCAUUCAGUACUUGAGAAUCAAAGUUUUGGGUUCUGGGGGGUAUGUCGCAAGACUGAACUUAAAGAAAUUGACGGAAGGCGGCAGCGGGGAGUGGGGCUGCGCCUCACUUUGACUCAACAACGGGAACUUACCAGAUCCAGGGGGUGGUGGGGAUGACAGAUUGAUAGCUCUUUCGUGCUUCUAUGGGUGGUCGUGACCGUCUAGUUGGUGGAGUGAUUGUCUGGUUAAUUCCGAUAACGAACGAGACCUUAACCUGCUAACUAGAUUCGAUCAUCUUAUGGUCGUUAUCUUCUUAGAGGGACUAUGUAACAUAAAUACAUGGAAACAUGGAAGUUGUUUGAGGCAAUAACAGGUCAGUGAUGCCUUAUAUGUCCUGGGCUGCACGCGUGCUACACUGAUGUAUACAACAAGUGCCUAGUCAGACAUGACAUGGCAAUCUCGAAUAUGCAUCGUGAUGGGGAUAGAUCUUUGCAAUUAUGGAUCUUGAACGAGGAAUUCCUAGUAAGUGCAAGUCAUCAUCUUCUAUUGUUUAUGUCCCUGCCCUUAACACAACGCCCGUCGCUCCUACCGAUACCGGGUGAUCCGGUGAACCUUGGACCGCAAGGGGAAGAUAAGUAUCCAUAUCCCAAGGAAGGAGAAGUCGAACAAAAAUCCCUCCCACUCGGAGGACCCC
This 707-nucleotide ribosomal RNA is filed under the name uncultured rumen protozoa. Its description in RNAcentral is "bacterial SSU rRNA". It matches the Rfam family "Eukaryotic small subunit ribosomal RNA", at positions 1031 to 1831 of the family's 1831-position model. The record is from RNAcentral.